UCUCGAGCGUAUCGGAGCGCGCCGCAAGCGCACAGCGAUGCCCUCAGUCGAGUUCCGCCCGAGUUGCCCGGGGUGCUUGCUUUUGUAGCGCUUUGGGGCGAGGCGUCUGUUGCCGGCGCCAUGGUUAAGGCGCAGCCUCUCGCUUGCCUCUUCGCGCCAGCGGUUGGCCUGCUUGUAGAAGAACGCCUUAGCUCUGCUCAGGCGGAUAGCCAUUAGGCAGACCGCCCGCGCUGAACGUCCUUCAUGAGUUCGACGAAGACAUGCGCUUGUCGCUCUUUGACUGAGAGGACAGUCCAGUUUGCCUGGCCGCUGAUCGCGGACAGCACGUCCCCUGGGGAUCGGACUGUGACGUUGGUGAACUCAGUGGCGGCCAGCACGAACAGCGCGGUGAGCUGGUC
Molecule: ribosomal RNA, 398 nt
Filed under: uncultured eukaryote
Lineage: Eukaryota
Description: partial small subunit ribosomal RNA
Source: RNAcentral